RNAcentral lists this ribosomal RNA (253 nucleotides) under uncultured bacterium. Its description in RNAcentral is "partial 16S ribosomal RNA". It matches the Rfam family "Bacterial small subunit ribosomal RNA", at positions 524 to 776 of the family's 1533-position model. The record is from RNAcentral.
GACGUAGGGCGCGAGCGUUGUCCGGAUUUAUUGGGCGUAAAGAGCUCGUAGGCGGCUCAUUGCGUCAACCGUGAAAACCAGCAGCUCAACUGUUGGCUUGCGGUUGAUACGGGUGGGCUAGAGUUCGGUAGGGGAGACUGGAAUUCCUGGUGUAGCGGUGAAAUGCGCAGAUAUCAGGAGGAACACCGGUGGCGAAGGCGGGUCUCUGGGCCGAUACUGACGCUGAGGAGCGAAAGCGUGGGGAGCGAACAGG